UGGGAUAAAAGGGGGUGGGCCCUGCCUGGUUGGGGAGAGCUUUGGAGGAUGAGGAAGCAGGAACAGCACUGCUGUGAGAAGCUGCCUGUGAGGAAACCACCCAGAAGGAUUAAAUAAAAGGAAAUGAGCUGUUUAAUUACAGUCAGAGAAAUUUUGCGAUGCUGCCUUGGAUGGUGACAGCAAGGCUGAAAUGUGUUUAAGGACGUGGCUACACGAACUGAUGGCUUCAGAGGUUGCUUACGAGGACAUAACAAAUGAGUGGACUAAAACUGCUCCACAAUUGUAAAUCUCAUCUUUGAGUGCGCCCACCUCCAGGGCAGAAGAAGGAAAAAAGAAGAAGGAAACAACUUGGGCUAAUGUUCAACAACAAUGCUGAUGCUGCUACAGAGGUGUGCAUACAUCCCAAAGCUGUCAACGAGUGGCAGGGGGUGGCAGUGCCUGUCACAUCUCUGCUUUUGGAAAAGAUCAGAGCCCUGAUGGCACAGCCACACUGCAGUUUCCAUGGCAGAUCUCAGGCAAGAUAUUCCCCAGCAGAGAUUUUUGAUAUCACCAUUUUUCAGGGCUGCUUUACUCCAGGUAAUUCGAGUAAAAUGGAUAAAAUGCAUUCUGACUGCAGUUAGGAAUUCCCUCAUCUGUCAGAAUGUACUGAAGUUUACUGUAGUGCUGAGUGAAAUCUGAGACGUGACAUCCGUGUUGGAAUUUCUGCUGUAUGAAGAAUUUACCCUUAGUCCAUGGUCUUUGCCAGACCAUCACAGCCCUGAGGAGAAAUGAAAACCUGAUCCGCCUUUCUUCAUGGAGCUCUGGACACAUUUGAAGAGAAAAUGUCAUUUUGUGCCUGCUGGAGGUGUGAUGGGAUCAGAG
Molecule: long non-coding RNA, 861 nt
Organism: Zonotrichia leucophrys gambelii
Lineage: Eukaryota; Metazoa; Chordata; Aves; Passeriformes; Passerellidae
Exons: 8
Source: RefSeq, a predicted model, not a curated record